Molecule: ribosomal RNA, 518 nt
Filed under: uncultured bacterium
Lineage: Bacteria
Description: bacterial SSU rRNA
Rfam family: Bacterial small subunit ribosomal RNA
Source: RNAcentral
UGGGGAAUCUUGGACAAUGGGGGCAACCCUGAUCCAGCCAUGCCGCGUGAGUGAUGAAGGCCUUAGGGUCGUAAAGCUCUUUCGCCUGUGAAGAUAAUGACGGUAGCAGGUAAAGAAACCCCGGCUAACUCCGUGCCAGCAGCCGCGGUAAUACGGAGGGGGUUAGCGUUGUUCGGAAUUACUGGGCGUAAAGCGCACGUAGGCGGACCAGAAAGUUGGGGGUGAAAUCCCGGGGGCUCAACCCCGGAACUGCCUUUCAUACUGGCGAUCUGGAGUUCGAGAGAGGUGAGUGGAAUUCCGAGUGUAGAGGUGAAAUUCGUAGAUAUUCGGAGGAACACCAGUGGCGAAGGCGGCUCACUGGCUCGAUACUGACGCUGAGGUGCGAAAGCGUGGGGAAGCAAACAGGAUUAGAUACCCUGGUAGUCCACACCGUAAACGAUGAAUGCCAGUCGUCGGGUAGCAUGCUAUUCGGUGACACACCUAACGGAUUAAGCAUUCCGCCUGGGGAGUACGGUCGC